Molecule: ribosomal RNA, 395 nt
Filed under: Phylloscopus sibilatrix
Lineage: Eukaryota; Metazoa; Chordata; Aves; Passeriformes; Phylloscopidae
Description: partial 12S ribosomal RNA
Rfam family: Bacterial small subunit ribosomal RNA
Source: RNAcentral
GCCUGGCCCUAAAUCUUGAUGCUCGAUCUUACCGGAGCAUCCGCCCGAGAACUACGAGCACAAACGCUUAAAACUCUAAGGACUUGGCGGUGUUCCAAACCCACCUAGAGGAGCCUGUUCUGUAAUCGAUGAUCCACGAUAUACCUAACCAUUUCUUGCCAAAGCAGCCUAUAUACCGCCGUCGCCAGCCCACCCAGCAUGAAGGACCAACAGUGGACGCAAUAGCCUUACCCCGCUAAUAAGACAGGUCAAGGUAUAGCCUAUGGAAUGGGAGCAAUGGGCUACAUUUUCUAGACUAGAACAUACGGCAAAGGGAUAUGAAACUGUCCCUGGAAGGCGGAUUUAGCAGUAAAGUGGGACAAUCGAGCCCUCUUUAAGCCGGCCCUGGAACACGU